RNAcentral lists this unclassified non-coding RNA (211 nucleotides) under plant metagenome. RNAcentral's name for it is "partial contains small subunit ribosomal RNA and internal transcribed spacer 1". The stretch from base 1 to 46 matches the Rfam family "Eukaryotic small subunit ribosomal RNA", at positions 1786 to 1831 of the family's 1831-position model. The record is from RNAcentral.
AAGUCGUAACAAGGUUUCCGUAGGUGAACCUGCGGAAGGAUCAUUACAAGUGAGGCUACCGAACGGGAACAGCGGUUAGGAGCUUACACCCACCCGGUUUACAUACUAUUGUUGCUUUGGCGGCGUGGCCUCCACUGCGGGCUCUGCUCGGUGGCCCGCCAGAGGACCAACUCUGAAUGUUGUGAUGUCUGAGUACUAUCUAAUAGUAAAA